ACAUCACCAUCCAUGCGGCGUUGACAGCGGAGAAUGGAACAGAUUUUCACCAGGAGGAGAUGACGGGUCAGGUGGAUGGGAGAAUGUUGCUUGGAAAGCAUCCGCAUGAGUGUUAUUUCGGUGAGAAAAAUCUGAAGCAAUAGUUCCAAGUACAACCAAGCUGUAGCUGUGGAAAUCUGCUGUACAGUUCUGGAGACGUCCCUACCUAUCCAAGAUUGGUCUUUAUAAUACUCGUAAGAGAACACAGUCAUACGAGACGAUCUCAUCAUCCUCGACAUCGAGGCGUCAUCCAUUAGUUUUUUCCAUCAGCACAAGAAUUGACCUGAUGUCGACAAGGAAUUAUACCUCAUUGAAUACGAUCGUUGGCUGCCGUAU
Long non-coding RNA from Lytechinus pictus (painted urchin), 375 nucleotides. RefSeq lists it as uncharacterized. The transcript is spliced from 3 exons. The record is from RefSeq and is a predicted model, not a curated record. NCBI's taxonomy places the organism in Eukaryota, Metazoa, Echinodermata, Echinoidea, Temnopleuroida, Toxopneustidae.